CAUUUAUUCAGACAAGUUUAUCGAUCUAUACAUAUAAUACAUGCUUAUUUAUCGUAAUAUUACGCCUUAUAUUGGAGUUUGAAGCCAUUAGAUCUAACGCAGUUCACCAAACGGUCGAACAAAGAUAAAAGAUGGAAUAAUCGUAUUAUCACCCUGUAUAUAACCCCUUUGAUUGUAUUUCUACCCUAGAAAAACUAGAAAGCAUCCAGUUUCAACGCGUACCUAACUCCCAGCCUCCCCGAUUGGAAAUCGAAGCUCCACCCGCGUCCAAUCGUCUCUCGCGUCGCGGAACGAAAUGGGGAAUCCCUCAUUCGACGAGGAUUCUCUUCAGUUUGGUGGGAAAUUGAACAACAAACACACGCCGCCGAGCGAAACUAGUUCUUACCGAGACGUUGCGUAAACACAAUCGAUCGACAAUGAGCGUUAACUCGAACCGCGAGCUAGGCACGGAUCCGACACGAGGAAUAACACGGGACAGACAACAACAAACCAGUCGGCAGGUAGUUGCCCGACUGGGUACCGGAUCCAGGCGAUAUUUUUCUGCACGUCCCCGCGGCGCUGCUUCUCGACCAGGCUCCGAAGGUGAAGGCGAUGGAAGCGGUCCCGCGCGUGUUUACGAGCUGGAAACGACUUGCCAAGCAUCCGCGAGAAAAGGGCGGACGAGGCCGCGACAGAGAUCCGGGAUUCCUGGAAAUUACCACCUUCGGGGCCUCUCUCCCGCCAUUGCUCGCCAACCAGAAUUUCGGCUUGCGCCAUGCCGUGGACCGGUUUAACAAGCUUCGAUUCGGAUAAGCGAAACGGCCGAUGCCUUUGAUCUUUUUUGGGUCUGAAUUUCGACGACCUUGACUUGCUUACGAGUGCGCUCGCCCACUCGCGGAACUCGAUGGAUCCCGAUCGACGCCUCCGCGGCGUCCAAUCCGGAUCCAUUUCGGCAACACUGGAUCCUGACGGGUUUCGGAUCGUUCGGGAAAGUGGUCUCUUCGAUCUUAAAUUUCGCCGACCUUGAAUCGUUCCACCCUCGUCUGGCAGAUGCAGGAUCGCUUCGAACCGGCUGCGAUCAUUCUCGUGAAAGAAUAUGGUCGAUCGAGAAGUUGUAAACGAAGCUCGAGACGCAGGGCUCCACCGAGCAGCGAUUAUCGGGCAGACGACGAGAAAACGACAUAAACUCGGUGCACAGCGUCCCGGAGGCGACUCGUCGAUCCGCGGAGGACGUUGGAGCGUUGUAACGGCUGCGGUAAAUUUCACGGGCGCACCAGGAUACGCCGAUCCUGUUUGCGCGUUCCACGCACGCUUUGAGGAAAAUAUUCCCCUUCGUCGUGGCUCGCAAGACGACGUAACCUGUUGCUGGACUCUGAGAGGGAGUGCAGUUUACGUCCAUCCGCCUCGUAAAACGUAAUGGUUAAGUGGCGGCCAGAUACGAUCAGCGCGGGCUACAGAAUGGACAGGCAAACGAUGCACCGUAUAAAGGACCCGAAACGACCAGCUCUGAGCACGGCGUAUGAAAACUGCAUAGGCUGAAUCCGUUUUCCCGGUCUUGUCGCUGCGCCUAAUGACGCGGACGAAGAGGAAAGUGGCCCCGAACGACUGGCACCAAGGAGCCUGCGUCGCGGGGAAGAUCUAGAAACCUUCCUCCUUCGAAAGCUAGCAGGUCGGCCUGCCGAAGGUGCAACAAAAAGGAGAGUCCUUGGAGGGAAAGGUGGGAUAGAAGAAAGAAACGAAAGAAAGAACAACCGUCGACGGUGAUCGCGCGGAUUUGCGGGCGCAAACAUUCACCAGGUCGAGCAGGGAGGAAGGCACACCUGGUGGGGAGAGCCUUCUGAUUACGAAGGGGACUCUCGUCCUGACUCCUGGUUACAAGGAGACGAGGAGAGGGGUACGAAGGAUUGCGCAACAAUGCGCUGCCACCUGCACUCGUUUCGUCACACAGCUUCAACUGGCUCGACGGUGGUUGGCCGGCUCGCAUUACUUUCGCCAAUUAAGCCUGCGGACGGUCGUUGUUGUUCAACUUGAAUAUGAAAUUCCACGAUUAUGCCGAAUUCCAGUACAAUGAAUGCAUCGACCGCCGGUGACCAUCCUGAGAAAAUUUGAUCAGGACCUGGCACACUCCUGGCGCAUCGACUACAAAGAUGAACUUCCAAGGAACGUCACCUAAUUUUUAAGAAAUUUCGAAUUGACACGUUUAAGAAUAUUAGAUACCUGCUCCUUUUAUUAACUGAUCCUCGUACGUGGAGACUGAUGUUGUUUAUCUAUUAUUCGUUAUACGUUGUAAGUACACUGCAGGCUUUUAUGCAUUUAUAAGAAAUUCGAAUGUGCGAGAAAGUACAAAAUGCACACGGUAUACGAGAAUAUAAAGAAAUAUUGAAUUUAUGCAUUUAUAAGGAAUUUGAAUG
Long non-coding RNA from Hylaeus volcanicus, 2390 nucleotides. RefSeq lists it as uncharacterized. The transcript has 4 exons. NCBI's taxonomy places the organism in Eukaryota, Metazoa, Arthropoda, Insecta, Hymenoptera, Colletidae. The record is from RefSeq and is a predicted model, not a curated record.